CUUGAUCAUAUAAAAAAAUAAAAUUUUAAAUUUAAAUUUGAAAUUUGAAUUUAAAUUUUAAUUCGAAUUUCUUUUUAUUUUGAGGGGUUGUGGGCGGUUUCGGUGUGGUAUACAACGCGCGAGUUUUGUAUUUAAAUUUAAAGUUUGAAUUUAAAUUGAAAUUAAAGGACUAAUUGUACCAUUUGUACCAACUUUUGUACAAUUUGUAUUUUCGUCUCUAUUUUUUUUUUUUCUUGCAAACACAAUUUGGAAUGUUUUUGAGUAUGACUAAACACUAAACACCGAAUCCCGGGCAUGGUGUGCGGUUGCGGUGUAAGAUUGCGGGUGUGUGUGGAUGGACAGCAGGUGCGGGCUUAUGUGAGUGGCUAAAAUGAGAUGCGGG
Molecule: long non-coding RNA, 382 nt
Filed under: Ananas comosus (pineapple)
Lineage: Eukaryota; Viridiplantae; Streptophyta; Magnoliopsida; Poales; Bromeliaceae
Description: long non-coding RNA (ACOM_LNC021293)
Source: RNAcentral